GAGUUUGAUCCUGGCUCAGAACGAACGCUGGCGGCGUGCUUAACACAUGCAAGUCGAACGUGAUCCAGAGCUUGCUCUGGUGAAAGUGGCGCACGGGUGAGUAACGCGUGGAUAACCUGCCCUGGUAUCUGGGAUAACAUCUCGAAAGGGGUGCUAAUACCGGAUAAGCCUACGGACUCCUCGGAGUCUGCAGGAAAAGGAGGCCUCUAUUUAUAAGCUUCCGUAUCAUGAUGGGUCCGCGUACCAUUAGCUAGUUGGUGGGGUAAUGGCCUACCAAGGCGACGAUGGUUAGCUGGUCUGAGAGGAUGAUCAGCCACACUGGAACUGAGACACGGUCCAGACUCCUACGGGAGGCAGCAGUGGGGAAUUUUGCGCAAUGGGGGAAACCCUGACGCAGCAACGCCGCGUGAGUGAUGAAGGCUUUCGGGUCGUAAAGCUCUGUCAGAGGGGAAGAAAUGAAACGUGCUAAUAUCACGUUUUCUUGACGGUACCCUCAAAGGAAGCACCGGCUAACUCCGUGCCAGCAGCCGCGGUAAUACAAGGGCGMMYY
Molecule: ribosomal RNA, 550 nt
Filed under: uncultured Geobacteraceae bacterium
Lineage: Bacteria; Pseudomonadati; Thermodesulfobacteriota; Desulfuromonadia; Geobacterales; Geobacteraceae
Description: bacterial SSU rRNA
Rfam family: Bacterial small subunit ribosomal RNA
Source: RNAcentral